Molecule: transfer RNA, 70 nt
Filed under: Tropidothorax cruciger
Lineage: Eukaryota; Metazoa; Arthropoda; Insecta; Hemiptera; Lygaeidae
Description: tRNA-Ser
Source: RNAcentral
GGGGGAAAGUAGAUAACUAAAAGAAGCUGCUAACUAUCUUUUAAAGUGGUUAAACUCCAUUUAUCCCCUA